This 568-nucleotide ribosomal RNA is filed under the name Phyllodoce mucosa. RNAcentral describes it as "SSU rRNA". It matches the Rfam family "Eukaryotic small subunit ribosomal RNA", at positions 592 to 1163 of the family's 1831-position model. Lineage: Eukaryota; Metazoa; Annelida; Polychaeta; Phyllodocida; Phyllodocidae. The record is from RNAcentral.
CAAUAGCGUAUAUUAAAGUUGUUGCAGUUAAAAAGCUCGUAGUUGGAUCUCAGGUCCCGGCUCGCGGUUCACUUCGCGGUGCUUACUGCCCGUCCGGACCUACCCGCCGGUUUUCCCUUGGUGCUCUUCAUUGAGUGUCUCGGGUGGCCGGAACGUUUACUUUGAAAAAAUUAGAGUGUUCAAAGCAGGCGCUUCGCCUGAAUAAUGGUGCAUGGAAUAAUGGAAUAGGACCUCGGUUCUAUUUUGUUGGUUUUCGGAACUCGAGGUAAUGAUUAAGAGGGACAGACGGGGGCAUUCGUAUUACGGUGUUAGAGGUGAAAUUCUUGGAUCGCCGUAAGACGAACUACUGCGAAAGCAUUUGCCAAGAAUGUUUUCAUUAGUCAAGAACGAAAGUCAGAGGUUCGAAGACGAUCAGAUACCGUCCUAGUUCUGACCAUAAACGAUGCCGACUGGAGAUCCGCCGGAGUUGUUUCACUGACCCGGCGGGCAUCCUCUGGGAAACCGUAAGUCUAUGGGUUCCGGGGGAAGUAUGGUUGCAAAGCUGAAACUUAAAGGAANUGACGGAAGG